RNAcentral lists this transfer RNA (71 nucleotides) under Struthiolaria papulosa. RNAcentral's name for it is "tRNA-Asn". Lineage: Eukaryota; Metazoa; Mollusca; Gastropoda; Littorinimorpha; Struthiolaridae. The record is from RNAcentral.
UAAAUGAAAGCCAAAGUUAAGAGGCACCUAGCUGUUAAUUAGGAGAUUGUAGAAAAAUACUACUCAUUUAG